Molecule: non-coding RNA, 73 nt
Organism: Stegodyphus mimosarum
Lineage: Eukaryota; Metazoa; Arthropoda; Arachnida; Araneae; Eresidae
Source: Rfam
GCCUUCGUGGUGUAGUAGUCAGCACAGUCGACGCGUAACCGAGUGGUCAGUGGUUCGAUUCCCGGCGAAGGCG